RNAcentral lists this ribosomal RNA (497 nucleotides) under uncultured bacterium. Its description in RNAcentral is "partial 16S ribosomal RNA". It matches the Rfam family "Bacterial small subunit ribosomal RNA", at positions 28 to 507 of the family's 1533-position model. The record is from RNAcentral.
GAUGAACGCUGGCGGCGUGCCUAAUACAUGCAAGUCGAGCGAACGGACGAGAAGCUUGCUUCUCUGAUGUUAGCGGCGGACGGGUGAGUAACACGUGGAUAACCUACCUAUAAGACUGGGAUAACUUCGGGAAACCGGAGCUAAUACCGGAUGAUAUUUUGAACCGCAUGGUUCAAAAGUGAAAGACGGUCUUGCUGUCACUUAUAGAUGGAUCCGCGCUGCAUUAGCUAGUUGGUAGGGUAACGGCUUACCAAGGCGACGAUGCAUAGCCGACCUGAGAGGAUGAUCAGCCACACUGGAACUGAGACACGGUCCAGACUCCUACGGGAGGCAGCAGUAGGGAAUCUUCCGCAAUGGGCGAAAGCCUGACGCAGCAACGCCGCGUGAGUGAUGAAGGUCUUCGGAUCGUAAAACUCUUUUGUUAGGGAAGAACAUAUGUGGAAGUAACUGUGCACAUCUUGACGGUACCUAAUCAGAAAGCAACGGCUAACUACGUG